Molecule: long non-coding RNA, 1359 nt
Organism: Ananas comosus (pineapple)
Lineage: Eukaryota; Viridiplantae; Streptophyta; Magnoliopsida; Poales; Bromeliaceae
Exons: 5
Source: RefSeq, a predicted model, not a curated record
CGUCGUUUCUUUUUCCCCCAUCCGUUGCUUCUCCCCUCCUUUAUGCGUCGUUCCCUCUCCUCCGCGUCCGUUUUUUUCUCCCCACUUCUCCUCUCUCUUAGUUUUUUUUUUUUUUUUUUUAAGCUUUGUCCGCCUGUUCUCCUUCCCUUUCCCUCUCUCAAGUAUGCCCGUUUCAUCGGCACCACUUCGAGCGCCUACCGCCCCUCCUCCGCCGCCGCCGCCCCCACGGCGCCUCCGUCGAACCACCGGGCCGUGAGUCCCUGCAGCACCCCUGCCGCCUCCCUCGGGAUCCGCAACCCCGCCGCUCCAAUCUCCACUGCCACCAUCUUCUCCUACCCCCUCCUCGCCCGGAGGAGCUGAUGGUGUUCUUGCCGGAUUUGUUGAAGAAGAAGCUAAUCGAAUGACUUCUUCGGUAGAAGAAGCUAAUUGGACCGCGAUUAUAUACAGAUCGAGAGGAUUUGGAACAACCCUGCGACUUCUGGCAAAAUCCUGCAAGCUUCCAUGAGGUUUUCAUCGUCAUUGUCGUUAUCAUCUUCAUUAUCAUCCCCGUCUUCGUACACCCUUUUGGAGUUUUUUCUUUUGGCAUGGUUUCUUCUGACAGUAUCCAACAACUAGCUUAGUUGGAUAUGUGGUGCUGAUCUCCAAUUCGGUCUAUCAAGUUUUCUUCACUUGGCGUGAUCUCAAGGUACAUCAACAAUUUAUUUUUAAUUAUAUAUUUUAUCCAUAUUGGUGCUUUUGAUCAUGGUUUGAUCUAUUAUGGCUUGCAAAGAAAUAUUUCAUUUAGAAAAAAUUUGGUGACAUGCAUCAACUAUUAAGCUCAAGGGUAAAUUCAUCAAGUACCGAAUCUGCUAGGAGGAUGAUGAAGCCAAUUUGGAGACCCCUUGCACGUACUAUGGCAGCUUAAAGGAAAUAUUUGCAGAGGCAACAAAUUUGUAAUUUGAGGAAUAUUGCUUCAAUCCAGUGUGUGAUAUCAUUGAAUCCUCUACAGUUGUAUUUUUUUUUUCUUUGAUUUGUAUGAGUUGCGAUGAUACAAAAAAAAGUAUAAAAAGAAUAUUUUACCAAAAAACUAUUAGUAAGAAAAUUAUUUCAUCUCUUAUACUAUUAUCUUUAGUAUCACAAACAAUGAUCCCUAUAGCUACAAUCUAUGAGUAUAAACGUGUUACGAUAGUUGUGGGGCGAGUGAUGUUGAAUUUAUGAAGGCAAAAAACUUAUUUACUGUAACAUUUUCUUAGCUAUUUCUAUGCAGACAUUGAACAUUUUGUAUAUAGGAAUACUUUCGCAAUGCGCCUGCCCCGUUGUCUUUACUAUUAUGUCUAUCAAUCAAGUUGGAUCUAUAUGAUAUUUCAUUAACUAUCAAAA